This 23-nucleotide microRNA is filed under the name Schmidtea mediterranea. RNAcentral describes it as "sme-miR-61b-3p". Its record names the gene sme-miR-61b-3p. The record is from miRBase by way of RNAcentral. Lineage: Eukaryota; Metazoa; Platyhelminthes; Tricladida; Dugesiidae.
UGACUAGAAUGUUCACCUUCUUU